GACGAACGCUGGCGGCGUGCCUAAUACAUGCAAGUCGAACGCUUCUUUCCUCCCGAGUGCUUGCCCUCAAUUGGAAAGAGGAGUGGCGGACGGGUGAGUAACACGUGGGUAACCUACCCAUCAGAGGGGGAUAACACUUGGAAACAGGUGCUAAUACCGCAUAACAGUUUAUGCCGCAUGGCAUAAGAGUGAAAGGCGCUUUCGGGUGUCGCUGAUGGAUGGACCCGCGGUGCAUUAGCUAGUUGGUGAGGUAACGGCUCACCAAGGCCACGAUGCAUAGCCGACCGGAGGGGGUGCUGGCCCACCCGGGGACUGAGACACGGCCAACACCCCGACGGGAGGCAGCGGUAGGAAAUCUUGGGCAAUGGACAAAAGUCUGACCGAGCAACGCCGCGUGAGUGAAGAAGUUGUUCGGAUCUUAAAACUCUGUUGUUAGAGAAAAACAAGGACGUUAGUAACUGAACGCCCCCGGACGGUAUCUAAACAGAAAGCCACGGCUAACUCCGUG
This 508-nucleotide ribosomal RNA is filed under the name uncultured bacterium. Its description in RNAcentral is "partial 16S ribosomal RNA". It matches the Rfam family "Bacterial small subunit ribosomal RNA", at positions 28 to 507 of the family's 1533-position model. The record is from RNAcentral.